UACGUAGGGUGCGAGCGUUGUCCGGAAUUAUUGGGCGUAAAGAGCUCGUAGGCGGUGUGUCGCGUCGGCCGUGAAAACCUGGGGCUCAACUCUGGGCGUGCGGUCGAUACGGGCAUCACUUGAGUUCGGCAGGGGAGACUGGAAUUCCUGGUGUAGGCGGUGAAAUGCGCAGAUAUCAGGAGGAACACCGGUGGCGAAGGCAGAUCUCUGGGCCGUAACUGACGCUGAGGAGCGAAAGCAUGGGUAGCAAACAGG
RNAcentral lists this ribosomal RNA (255 nucleotides) under uncultured bacterium. RNAcentral describes it as "partial 16S ribosomal RNA". It matches the Rfam family "Bacterial small subunit ribosomal RNA", at positions 524 to 776 of the family's 1533-position model. The record is from RNAcentral.